UAUACCUUUACCAGCCUUUUCUAUUGCCAUUGCAAUCAGUUUACCAUACUCCUCCUUUUCUCAUUAGUGACUUAAAUAAAUAUUUGGUGAUUAGUUACUAUAUAUAUAUUUGAAGAUUAUGCUUUGAUAGCUUUUAAGGUACUCCAGUGGCUUAGCAAGAGCUACAAAGUGAGAAGGUGUUCACUUUAUUAUCAUCUGGUGCAUUCCUGAACGGGACCUCGCUAACCUUUCUCAGGAGAGAGUCUGUGAGUGGACAAUGUCCAGAUACAUGCAAGACCCAUUUAGGAAUACAGAUCUCAAGAGAGAGUUAUCUGUGCUCAGCUUAAUUCCACUCACCUCCGUGUCCCAAGUGGGACACAUGUGCUUUCAGAUUUGUGGCAAUCUUUAUAGCUAGGAAAACAACUCCCAAUUACUCAGUUCAAUUCCCUCUCUUGCUGAAGAGUUGGGAAGCAUAUGAUAAAAGCUAUGUCCAGGCAAACUGCAGGUGUCAUAGGGAGAGGAAGCCUAUUUUAAAGUCAAAAUCCCUAUCUACUUCCUACCCACCUCAGCCACAACAAUAUGCUUAUUCUUGUAAUGCUGUUCUAAAGAUUUCAGGUUUCUGGGUCUAUUAUCACUCAUCCUUUUCCAAGUCCAGGUAAUUGAAUGCCUGAGGACACCAGGUGCUGUUUCUCAGUUGAUAGAAGCUGCUAGAUCUUCCAUGACUGUUGAUUUUUAUCAGGGUAAAAUUAAGUGGGGGAAAAAUACUGGAGGGGACACUGUUGUCAGAAAUCAGUCCCCCCACACCCCUCCCAAUCAGAGCUUUAAUCAGACAGGAACCUUUUACUAUUUCCCACUUUUGAGUUUCCUUAAAUGGAGUUCAAUGCUUAUCACCUGAUGGGAGUUUCUUAGCACUAAGUAUGUGCCAGGGGCUCCCCGAGGAACGAUGAUCGAUGAUCCUAAGAACAAAGUGGAAAGAAGGAUGUAAAGAGAUGAUGUUCUUUACCUGAGAUCGACGUGCAGAACAAAGUGGAGAUAGAAGGUAGCUAACUCACUGCGGCGCAACGGAUUUUGUUGGUAAUUGGCGUUGCUUGGUUCUAAAAAGGCUAAGGAAACCAAUAACAAUAAACUGUGUACACAAUUCCAAACACGUUAAAGACGAUGGAGUCGGAUUACAGGGGGAAAGGCACUUCAAGUAAUGCUAUUUUGGGUUGGAAAACAAUGCUCCAGGUGAGGCUCGAACUCACAACCUCGGCAUCACUCGCACACAUACUGCCAUAUAAGUACCGCGCGCUAACCGAUUGCGCCACUGGAGCACCCAGUUUCUACUUCCGGUCACUCCUUACACAGCCUACACAGGAACAUCCGGCGUGUUUGCUCUGGUCGUCACAGCACCGGUUCCUCGGGCGCGCGCCCUUAGUCCUGGGGCCGCUUCUCCCCCGGACGCGUGCGAAGGCGGACUGGGUUCCGCUGCGGUCUCCACGGGAGCCACCGGUCCUGAAAGCGCGGAGCAUGCUUUGUUUGCGGAAACGAAAGCGAAUACUUCUUUCCAAGGAGACUUAGGAAAGGGCAGACGCUCCCACUGCCUCAGGUGUUCCCUGGAGGACCUUCAAGUGGCCGCCGUGUGGGCGGGCUAGCGUCCCGCUGCUGCGCUGGUUCCGGAGCCCUUCCCUUGCCUCUCCCAGGGUCCUUCUCCCAGCGUCGGAGGAAGGCCCGCAGUCUGCGAGUGGAGUGCGGGUGGUGGGAAUCCCUGGGAGGAUUACGAAAUCCUUAAAGUGGGAUUUACCAAACGCAUUCCUUUCCGCUCACUUCCGUUCCCGCUUAACAAACGUGUUGGAAACGUGUUGCUACUGAAAGGAAGUGGCGCUGGGCUGCAUUUUCUGUGGCUAGUCUGCGAGAAACAGCCCUGGAAUAGGGCCUCUAUUUCUUCCUUGGAGCAUCCCUCCCCGGGACCUGGGAGUUGAAACUCUAGGCUAAAGCAACUGAAGCAGGCCCAGGACUGGGUCUCUGAAAUUCAUGGUGUCUCUACGCUGAGUUAAACUAAGUUUUUCAGAAAAUGUCUAACUAGGCUAAAGACCUUGUGCUUCAGAGUGUUUUGAGAGGAGAGUUUGGGGAAAAGGGCUCUCUCUAGAAGGUAAAUUUGUAUGGGAGAUGGGGAGUGUGUGUUUACACGGAGUAUCGGGCGUCUUUCUUAUGGGUGGACAUUGUGGAUAAGAAUGAGAUAUUAAGGCAGAAUUAGCUGGGCUUUUAAUCCCAAACAGUGUUUUAAAAAUAAAAACUAUAUAUUUAAGGUGUACAACAUGAUGUUUUGAUACAUGUACACAGUGAAAUGAUUUCUACAGUCAAGCUAAUUAACAUAAUACAUCUCUUCACAGUUACUAUUUUGUGUAAGUGGUGAGAGCGCAUGAAAUGUACUCUCCGCAAGUUUCCAAUGCACAAUGCAGUAUUAACUAUAGUUAUGCUAUGCAUUACAUCUCUAGACUUAUUCAUCCUAUAGAACUGCAACUUUGUAUCCUUUGACCAACAUCUUAACCAUUUCCAUACGUCUCCACCCCUGGUAACCACUGUUCUACUCUGCUUCUAUGUAUUUGACUUUUUUAGAAUCCACAUAAGAGAUCAUGCAGUAUUUUUCUUGCUGUGUCUGGCUUGUUUCACUUAGCAUAAUGACAUCGAGGUUCAUCCAUGUUGCAAACAGCAGGAUCUUCUUUAUUAAGGAUGAAUAAUAUUCUAUUGUGUGUAUAAACUAUAUGUGCUUUAUCCAUUCAUUGGUGGACAGCCACUUAGGUCGAUUCCAUAUCUUAGUUAUUGUGAAUAAUGUUUCAAUGAAGAUGGGCAUGCAGUUAUUGCUUCGAGAUCCUGAUUUCAUUUCCUUUGCGGAUGUGAACACCGAAAAUUUGAGACACGUUUCAGUUAAUUUAGAAAGUUUAUUUUGCGAAGGUUGAGGACACACCCCUGUGACACAGCCUCAGGGAGUUCUGACUACCUGUGCCCAAGGUAAUCGGGGCACAGCUUAGUUUUAUACAUUUUAGGGACACAUGAGACAUCAGUCAAUAUAUGUAAGAAGUACAUUGGUUCCAUCCAGAAAGGCGGGGACAAAGCAGGGAGGGGGCUGCCAGGUCUUACUUUUGAGUUUCUGAUAAACCUUUCCAAAGGAGGCAAUCAGAGUAUGCAUCUAUCUCAGUGAGCAGAGGGAUGACUUUGAAUAGAAUGGGAGGCAAGUUUGCACUGAGCAGUUUCCAGCUUGAAUUUUCCUUUUAGCUAGUGAUUUUGGGGGUGCAAGAUAUUUUACUUUCACAGUAUAUACCCAGAAAAGGUACUGCUGGAUCAUGUGGUAGUUCUAUUUGUAAUUUUCUGAGGAACAGCCAUACUGCUGUUUUCCAUAAAGGCGGUACUAAUUUGCAUUCCCACUCAUAAUGUAAAAGGGUUCCCUUUUCUCUACAUUGCCAACACUUGUUAUUUUUUAUAUUUUUAAAUUGGUUAUUCUAACAGGUCUGAGAUGAUGUCUCAUUGUGGGUUUGAUUUGCAUUUCCAUGAUGAUUAGAGAUGUUGAGCAUUUUUUCUAUUGGCCAUUUUUUAUGUCAUC
This 3559-nucleotide long non-coding RNA is filed under the name Homo sapiens (human). RNAcentral describes it as "non-protein coding lnc-HIST1H2BJ-8:1". The record is from RNAcentral. Lineage: Eukaryota; Metazoa; Chordata; Mammalia; Primates; Hominidae.